This 292-nucleotide ribosomal RNA is filed under the name uncultured bacterium. Its description in RNAcentral is "partial 16S ribosomal RNA". The record is from RNAcentral.
GGACUACAAGGGUAUCUAAUCCUGUUUGCUCCCCACGCUUUCGCGUCUCAGCGUCAGUAUCCGUCCAGAUGGCCGCCUUCGCCACUGGUGUUCUUCCCGAUAUCUACGAAUUUCACCUCUACACCGGGAGUUCCGCCAUCCUCUCCGGUACUCAAGCAAGGUAGUUUCGGGCGCACUUCCUCGGUUAAGCCGAGGGAUUUCACACCCGACAUGCCCUGCCGCCUACACGCGCUUUACGCCCAAUAAUUCCGAACAACGCUUGCACCCUCUGUAUUACCGCGGCUGCUGGCAC